CUAGAAUCCUUAAAUUGUAUUAGCCCCUUCUCUCUCCUCUUCUUCCCAGCCCGAUACCACCACUCUUUCUUUUCUUCUCUCGCAUCUCAGUCGGCCAGACCAAACGAGCCAUCUCCAGCAACCACCCAAUGACACGCACCCCACCACAAGCUUCCUUGGCCCCCGAAACCCCCAACCUGUGAAGCUUGCCUCCCCACUCGUUGGCAUUCGUCGCAACUGGCCCCCCGAAGUUUUGUUGCCGAUGUGAGUUUGGAGGAUUUUUCUGGCCUCCACCGUCUUCGAAACAAGAAUUCAAGGGAAUGGUUGGGUUCGUUAGCUCAAGAUAAGCAAAACCCUAUGGAAAUUGGACUGAAAUGUCGCUGGAGAUGCUCACCAAUGUCACGAACGACUUUCUUCUUCUUCUUAUCUAUUCCAUGGAUAUACAUACACGGUAUGCUCUCUCGUCAACCCUUAUUGGUGGUGUAAUGGGUGCACAUGCUCAAUUAUGGGAGCAAAGCUUAUGAAGAAUCCAAGCAACUAGUGGAGAUCCAAACAACUCAAGGAGAUGUUAUCAAUUCAUUUCCAGUAGAUGUAUUCUCUAUAGUUGGUAGAUUUCAGAGUUUACUUUUAUUGUGUUGAAAUUUUUACAUCAAUCAAGCAAACUGCUUCAAUGUAUAUAUUUAUCUUUCUAUGUUUAUUUUCAAUUAAAAGUUCUUUGGCUUUGCAUUUAGAACUUCUUACUAUCAAGCUUCAAGUGCUUCUUGGAUAUAUAGUGUCAGAAAAACUACUUAUGACUUUGUAUUUGAUCAAACUCCAAGAAGGAUAAUGUUGGAUUCUUCUCUAGUUGGAUAAUGUUGAAAUAAUUUUAAGUUC
Molecule: long non-coding RNA, 852 nt
Organism: Humulus lupulus (European hop)
Lineage: Eukaryota; Viridiplantae; Streptophyta; Magnoliopsida; Rosales; Cannabaceae
Exons: 3
Source: RefSeq, a predicted model, not a curated record